GUCUCUUCGGAGACUAUAGUCAAGCAGUAAAAAAACAGAGAAGAUUAGCAUGGCCCCUAGUACUAAGUAUGACACGCGUUCGAUUAAGAAGCUACAUUUUCUU
Molecule: small nuclear RNA, 103 nt
Filed under: Fusarium langsethiae
Lineage: Eukaryota; Fungi; Ascomycota; Sordariomycetes; Hypocreales; Nectriaceae
Source: RNAcentral